RNAcentral lists this unclassified non-coding RNA (175 nucleotides) under uncultured Clavariaceae. Its description in RNAcentral is "sequence contains ITS1". The record is from RNAcentral. Lineage: Eukaryota; Fungi; Basidiomycota; Agaricomycetes; Agaricales; Clavariaceae.
UUGAAUCCAAAGGAUGUUGCUGGCCUUUCGGGGCAUGUGCACUCCACCUUUUCAAUACACCUGUGAACUUAUUGUAGGUGCAGAUGUAAAAAGUCUGUUGUCUACGUUUUUAAUACACCCUUAAAAAGUAUAUUGAAUGUUUAAUUGUGGCCUUUGAUGGUCAACAAACUUAAUA